Molecule: non-coding RNA, 144 nt
Organism: Drosophila virilis
Lineage: Eukaryota; Metazoa; Arthropoda; Insecta; Diptera; Drosophilidae
Source: Rfam
AGUAUGUCCAGUCUAAUUCUGCAUCAUGUCACUUGGAUAUUGUUGCAGACUCGCUUUUGGACAAGAGCAAUGUAUGUCUUUUAUUAUCCUUGUGCUUGUGGCAACACUCAGCUCAAUGCACACGAGAAACGUAGAAGAACAAUC